UACAGAGGUCCCAAGCGUUGUUCGGAUUCACUGGGCGUAAAGGGUGCGCAGGUGGCCGGGUAAGUCUGAUGUGAAAUCCCGCAGCUUAACUGCGGAAUGGCAUUGGAUACUAUUUGGCUAGAGGGUUGGAGGGGGGACUGGAAUUCUCGGUGUAGCAGUGAAACGCGUAGAUAUCGAGAGGAACACCAGUGGCGAAGGCGAGUCCCUGGACAACUCCUGACGCUGAGGCACGAAAGCUAGGGGAGCAAACAGG
Molecule: ribosomal RNA, 253 nt
Filed under: uncultured bacterium
Lineage: Bacteria
Description: partial 16S ribosomal RNA
Rfam family: Bacterial small subunit ribosomal RNA
Source: RNAcentral